RNAcentral lists this ribosomal RNA (253 nucleotides) under uncultured bacterium. Its description in RNAcentral is "partial 16S ribosomal RNA". It matches the Rfam family "Bacterial small subunit ribosomal RNA", at positions 524 to 776 of the family's 1533-position model. The record is from RNAcentral.
UACGUAGGGUGCAAGCGUUAAUCGGAAUUACUGGGCGUAAAGCGUGCGCAGGCGGUUGUGCAAGACCGAUGUGAAAUCCCCAGGCUUAACCUGGGAAUGGCAUUGGUGACUGCACGGCUAGAGUGUGUCAGAGGGGGGUAGAAUUCCACGUGUAGCAGUGAAAUGCGUAGAGAUGUGGAGGAAUACCGAUGGCGAAGGCAGCCCCCUGGGAUAACACUGACGCUCAUGCACGAAAGCGUGGGGAGCAAACAGG